This 966-nucleotide long non-coding RNA is filed under the name Helianthus annuus (common sunflower). Its description in RNAcentral is "hypothetical non coding rna". The record is from RNAcentral. Lineage: Eukaryota; Viridiplantae; Streptophyta; Magnoliopsida; Asterales; Asteraceae.
UAGGCGCAAAAACGGGUUUUUUUGAAAAAAAAACGUUGCUGAGGCGCAAAAAGGCGCGCGCCUAGGCGCAAAAACGGUGUUGAGGCGCAGUGGAUAAGCAGAAAAACUGAAAAAAAAAACGAAACCGAGUGCGUGCAAAAACUGCCUCACGCUGGCCCGUGUUUUUGGAGCUGCAUUCGUGUCCGCAGGACGUGUGGGCACGCACGAGUUCAACCAAAUUCCAGCUAAGAAACACAUUUUUAUAUUUUGCUCUAUGUACGCUUUUCUUUAAAAAGCCCACACUUUUUUGCGCCUUGCGCCUAGGCUCCGGGCAAGGCCGAUGCGCCUCGCGUGCGCCUUGCGUCUUUGACAACAUAGACCACCGUUGCCACUAAAAGUAACAAGAUAUCGUUGGGCAUAGCUCAGUUAUCCCUAGAAAACAUACUAUUGAAUUCAAAAGUAAAUAUGGUUUUUAUCCCAAAAAACAUCAUAAAGGGAAGCUUCAUUUCAAGAACAGUUAACCAAAGUCAUAAAAGGGAGCUUCAUUUCACUCAUAGAGAUCCUAUUUGUGCUCUUUUUUGCCAAUUAGUUUUUAAGAACAAUUAACCAAAGUCAAUAAUAAACCUCAAAACGUUCAGCGAGCAUCUAAACAACUAAGCAGAAGGGUAUGUGAGUGUCCAUUUAUUAGCCCAAAAACGUUACAUAAAUAAAACUUUUAACUUCUGCUUCAGUACUAGUGCUACACCUAACCCAAAUCGGUCUCCUCUGUAUUACUUUCUUUUCUAAUUUUCUAGUAAAGUGCCCAAGCAAUUGACCAAUUUAACACCCUUCUAUUCAAAUAAAAACCAUAACAGGAACCAACUAGUAGCUCAAAACAAUUCACCCCUAAUCUUAUCCAUCCUAGAAACCACAUAACUUACACACCAAAAGAGCAUGUAUCAAUCAAAAGCAAACUCCUUUAACCUAAAAUUCACCAAAAAAGGAUAA